GUUAGGAAUAUUGGACAAUGGGCGCAAGCCUGAUCCAGCCAUGCCGCGUGAGUGAUGAAGGCCUUCGGGUUGUAAAGCUCUUUAGUCCACGAAUAUAAUGACUGUAGUGGAAGAAGAAGCCCCGGCUAACUCCGUGCCAGCAGCCGCGGUAAUACGGAGGGGGCUAGCGUUGUUCGGAAUUACUGGGCGUAAAGCGCAAGUAGGCGGAUCGGCAAGUUGGGGUUGAAAUCCCAGGGCUCAACCCUGGUACUGCCUUCAAAACUAGCGGUCUGGAGUCCGAGAGAGGAGAGUGGAAUUCCGAGUGUAGAGGUGAAAUUCGUAGAUAGACGGAGGAACACCAGUGGCGAAGUCGGCUCACUGGCUCGGUACUGACGCUGAGGUGCGAAAGCGUGGGGAGCAAACAGGAUUAGAAACCCGGGUAGUCC
This 425-nucleotide ribosomal RNA is filed under the name uncultured bacterium. Its description in RNAcentral is "partial 16S ribosomal RNA". It matches the Rfam family "Bacterial small subunit ribosomal RNA", at positions 354 to 796 of the family's 1533-position model. The record is from RNAcentral.